GACGAACGCUGGCGGCGUGCUUAUCACAUGCAAGUCGAACGGUGAAGGGACCGGUUUUUGCUGGUUCUGGAUGAGUGGCGAACGGGUGAGUAACACGUGAGUAACCUGCCCCCUUCUUCUGGAUAACCGCAUGAAAGUGUGGCUAAUACGGGAUAUUCUGCGCCUGCUGCAUGGUGGGUGUGGGAAAGAUAUUGUUUCGGUGGGGGAUGGGCUCGCGGCCUAUCAGCUUGUUGGUGGGGUGAUGGCCUACCAAGGCGGUGACGGGUAGCCGGCCUGAGAGGGUGGACGGUCACACUGGGACUGAGACACGGCCCAGACUCCUACGGGAGGCAGCAGUGGGGAAUAUGGCACAAUGGGCGCAAGCCUGAUGCAGCGACGCCGCGUGAGGGAUGGAGGCCUUCGGGUUGUAAACCUCUUUCGCCAGUGAAGCAGGCCUGUCCCUUUUGUGGGUGGGUUGACGGUAGCUGGAUAAGAAGCGCCGGCUAACUACGUG
This 493-nucleotide ribosomal RNA is filed under the name uncultured bacterium. RNAcentral describes it as "partial 16S ribosomal RNA". It matches the Rfam family "Bacterial small subunit ribosomal RNA", at positions 28 to 507 of the family's 1533-position model. The record is from RNAcentral.